RNAcentral lists this ribosomal RNA (405 nucleotides) under uncultured bacterium. RNAcentral's name for it is "partial 16S ribosomal RNA". It matches the Rfam family "Bacterial small subunit ribosomal RNA", at positions 28 to 526 of the family's 1533-position model. The record is from RNAcentral.
GAUGAACGCUGGCGGCGUGCCUAAUACAUGCAAGUCGAGCGAAGCGGGGACGGGUGAGUAACACGUGGAUAACCUCAUAUAAGACUGGGAUAAAUUCGGGAAACCGGCGCUAAACCGGAUAAUUAUAGAUGGUUCCGCGGUGCAUUAGCUAGUUGGUAGGGUAACGUCUUCCCAGGGCAACGAUGCAUAGCCGACCUGAGAGGAGGAUCGGCAAAACUGGAACUGAGACACGGUCCAGACUCCUACGUGAGGCAGCAGUAGGGAAUCUUCCGCAAUGGGCGAAAGCCUGACGGAGCAACGCCGCGUGAGUGAUGAAGGUCUUCGGAUCGUAAAACUCUGUUGUUAGAGAAGCGGUAUCUAACCAGAAAGCCACGGCUAACUACGUGCCAGCAGCCGCGGUAAUAC